This 497-nucleotide ribosomal RNA is filed under the name uncultured bacterium. RNAcentral describes it as "partial 16S ribosomal RNA". It matches the Rfam family "Bacterial small subunit ribosomal RNA", at positions 28 to 507 of the family's 1533-position model. The record is from RNAcentral.
GAUGAACGCUGGCGGCGUGCCUAAUACAUGCAAGUCGAGCGAACGGACGAGAAGCUUGCUUCUCUGAUGUUAGCGGCGGAAGGGUGAGUAACACGUGGAUAACAUACCUAUAAGACUGGGAUAACUUAGGGAAACAGUAGCUAUUACCGGAUAAUAUUUUGAACCGCAUGGUUCAAGAGAGAAAGAAGGUCGUGCUGACACUUAUAGAAUGAUCCGCGCUGCAUUAGCUAGUUGGUAAGGUAACGGCUUACGAAGGCAACGAUGCAUAGCCGACCUGAGAGGUGGACCGGCCACACGGGACCUGAGACACGGUCCGGACUCCUACGGGAGGAGGCAGUGGGGAAUCUUCCGCAAGGGGCGAAGUCCUGCCGGAGCAACGCCGCGGGGGUGAGGAAGGUCUCCGGAUCGUAAAACUCUGUUAUUAGGGAAGAACAUAUGUGUAAGUAACGGUGCACAUCUUGACGGUACCUAAUCAGAAAGCCACGGCUAACUACGUG